UUAGUCACGCCGGCCACAUGACCACGGAGACUGUCUGCGAACAAACACUGGCUCCCUCGGCCAGGAAACGGGGAUGAGCACCGCCCCCUAGAGCCAGGCAUGACUGGACUUAAUAUCAAGGGAAACCUUUACCUUUACCUUUA
This is a long non-coding RNA of Varanus komodoensis (Komodo dragon), 143 nucleotides long. RefSeq lists it as uncharacterized. The transcript has 3 exons. Lineage: Eukaryota; Metazoa; Chordata; Lepidosauria; Squamata; Varanidae. The record is from RefSeq and is a predicted model, not a curated record.